RNAcentral lists this ribosomal RNA (860 nucleotides) under uncultured bacterium. Its description in RNAcentral is "SSU rRNA". It matches the Rfam family "Bacterial small subunit ribosomal RNA", at positions 524 to 1381 of the family's 1533-position model. The record is from RNAcentral.
UACGGAGGGCGCUAGCGUUGUCCGGAAUUAUUGGGCGUAAAGAGCGUGUAGGCGGUUGGGAAAGUCAGAUGUGAAAGCCCUGGGCUCAACCCAGGAAGGGCAUUUGAAACUACCUACCUUGAGUACGGGAGAGGAAGGGGGAAUUCCCGGUGUAAAGGUGAAAUUCGUAUAUAUCGUCAGGAAUACCGGGGGCGAAGGCGCCCUUCUGGACUGAUACUGACGCUAAAACGCGAAAGCGCGGGGAGCAAACAGGAUUAAAUACCCUGAUAGUCCACGCCGUAAACGAUGAGCACUAGGUGUAGCGGGAAUUGACCCCUGCUGUGCCGGACCUAACGCAUUAAGUGCUCCGCCUGGGGAUUACGGUCGCAAGACUAAAACUCAAAGGAAUUGACGGGGGCCCGCACAAGCGGUGGAGCAUGUGGUUUAAUUCGACGCAACGCGAAGAACCUUACCUGGGCUUGACAUCCCCGGACAGCCCUGGAAACAGGGUCUUCCACUUCGGUGGGCCGGGUGACAGGUGCUGCAUGACUGUCGUCAGCUCGUGUCGUGAGAUGGUGAGUUAAGUCCCGCAACGAGCGCAGCCCUUGCCUUUAGUUGCCAUCAUUUAGCUGGGCCCUCUAAAGGGACUGCCGGUGUUAACCCGGAGGAAGGUGGGGACGACGUCAAGUCCUCAUGGCCUUUAUGUCUCAGGGCUACACACGUGCUACAAUGGGCGGCACAAAGGGCAGCAACACCGCGAGGUGAAGCAAAUCCCAAAAAACCGCUCUCAGUUCGGAUCGGAGUCUGCAACUCGACUCCGUGAAGGUGGAAUCCCUAGUAAUCGUGGAUCAUCAUCCCACGGUGAAUACGUUCCCGGUCCU